CCACCACUCUAGUACAGAUUGAUCUUAGUUUAAACUGUUCAAAAAAUGCUGGCUUUUUUAGAUGUUUUUUUUGUCAAAUUUUAAUAUGACUUUCUAUUCUUGAGGCUUAUGAAUUGUUUACACCUUGUGGUGAACCCUCUGUAUUUGCUCCUGUGAAGUUUUCUCUUCAUGGUUGUAGCAGAGAGCUUAUUCUACAGAGACUAUCUCCGCUGGUAAUCCAAUAGUGGCUCAGGAACAAGUAAUUAACCCAGGAAAUACAGCAUCAGUAGUAACUAAAAUAAUAAUAUCCCAUCACCUUUCCCUAUAAUAACUGGACGACACACAGUAUCAGGAGCAGAACUGCUGUUUUAUUCCACAUACCCUGCUUUUAUGCCUCUCUCCCCUGCAAGGGAGACACCCCAGAAAAUUAUACAGUAUCCAAUCAUACACAGGUUACAACCCACACAUCUCCCCUCAGCCUGACAGAUAAUCAAAUUAUUCAGUACACACUUUUCCCCGUUUUCUGGAUGUACCCCAAAUACAUAGG
Pelobates cultripes (western spadefoot toad) is the source of this 526-nucleotide non-coding RNA. Lineage: Eukaryota; Metazoa; Chordata; Amphibia; Anura; Pelobatidae. The record is from the annotation of a GenBank genome assembly.